ACUAAAUCUGGCAAAGGUGCAUAUCAUUCAUAUCAUGGGAACGAUAAAUUAAGUCAAAGGUUGAACAGAAUAAUGGUAGGUAUGGAUACUUCGCUUAACAGGUACACAUAGUAGCCUAGCCCCCAUGCUUUCAGUGCAGGGGAAGUCCUCAUGGCGUCACCUUGCCCAUCAAUUCGUCAAAAAUGUUCUCAACCUGCUGCGGUGCAUGCAAAAUUAGAGGAUAGACCUGAAGGUAAAAUAUUACUACUAGCCUACUAGGCCAGCCAUAUUGGAAUAAUUUAAAACUACUUAGUAGGUCUACUAUAAGAAACACAAGCUAUCAGGACAAAAUUCUAUCAUUCUUUGGACAAGGAACUGUAAGAACCCUCACCUUGUGUACAUUGGUCUUGCGUGCUGAAGAAGAGGAGGAAGAGCGCCGGACAAGUCCACAGCGGCCUGAAUCGAACGAAUUGGGCUUCGAAGGUGGAGCAAAACCAACUCUUCUCUCACGGGGGCUUAGUGACUCGACCACCACUCCGCUCCACUGGGAGUGCGACGAGGGAGGGGAGCGGCGCGCGGAGGAGCAUGGGUGGUGGUGGCGGCGGAACCGGCCGGCGGCCGCCACUGGGACGAGGGAGGGAUGGGGCUCGAAUGGGGUGGCUUGGCUGAAUCAAUGCGAGGAGAGGAGGUGGGAGGGAGAAAGGAGGAGAGAAUCUGGGAGAAGGCCGCAGGCCCGCAGCGCGGCGUCGCAGAGCUCGCCGGCGCCGGCGGGCGAAAAUGGG
This 761-nucleotide long non-coding RNA is filed under the name Setaria viridis. Its description in RNAcentral is "long non-coding RNA (SVIR_LNC001995)". The record is from RNAcentral. Lineage: Eukaryota; Viridiplantae; Streptophyta; Magnoliopsida; Poales; Poaceae.